This 440-nucleotide ribosomal RNA is filed under the name uncultured bacterium. RNAcentral's name for it is "bacterial SSU rRNA". It matches the Rfam family "Bacterial small subunit ribosomal RNA", at positions 338 to 784 of the family's 1533-position model. The record is from RNAcentral.
CCUACGGGUGGCUGCAGUCGAGGAUCUUCGGCAAUGGGCGCAAGCCUGACCGAGCGACGCCGCGUGUGCGAUGAAGGCCUUCGGGUUGUAAAGCACUGUCGAGGGGGAGAAAACCCCGCAAGGGGUUGAUCUAUCCCUGGAGGAAGCACGGGCUAAGUUCGUGCCAGCAGCCGCGGUAAGACGAACCGUGCGAACGUUGUUCGGAAUCACUGGGCUUAAAGGGCGCGUAGGCGGGCUGCCAAGUCUGGGGUGAAAUCCCACGGCUCAACCGUGGAACUGCCUCGGAUACUGGCGGCCUCGAGGGGGGUAGGGGCGUGCGGAACUGUGGGUGGAGCGGUGAAAUGCGUUGAUAUCCACAGGAACUCCGGUGGCGAAGGCGGCACGCUGGACCUCUUCUGACGCUGAGGCGCGAAAGCCAGGGGAGCAAACGGGAUUAGAUA